This 497-nucleotide ribosomal RNA is filed under the name uncultured bacterium. RNAcentral's name for it is "partial 16S ribosomal RNA". It matches the Rfam family "Bacterial small subunit ribosomal RNA", at positions 28 to 507 of the family's 1533-position model. The record is from RNAcentral.
GAUGAACGCUGGCGGCGUGCCUAAUACAUGCAAGUCGAGCGAACAGACCCGGUGCUUGCUCCUCUGACGUUAGCGGCGGACGGGUGAGUAACACGUGGAUAACCUACCUAUAAGACUGGGAUAACUUCGGGAAACCGGAGCUAAUACCGGAUAAUAUAUUGAACCGCAUGGUUCAAUAGUGAAAGACGGUUUUGCUGUCACUUAUAGAUUGAUCCGCGCCGCAUUAGCUAGUUGGUAAGGUAACGGCUUACCAAGGCGAUGAUGCGUAGCCGACCUGAGAGGGUGAUCGGCCACACUGGAACUGAGACACGGUCCAGACUCCUACGGGAGGCAGCAGUAGGGAAUCUUCCGCAAUGGGCGAAAGCCUGACGGAGCAACGCCGCGUGAGUGAUGAAGGUCUUCGGAUCGUAAAACUCUGUUAUUAGGGAAGAACAAAUGUGUAAGUAACUAUGCACGUCUUGACGGUACCUAAUCAGAAAGCCACGGCUAACUACGUG